UGNGUCCUCUUUCAGGCCUAGUAUUGGCUCCU
Molecule: non-coding RNA, 32 nt
Filed under: Mus musculus (house mouse)
Lineage: Eukaryota; Metazoa; Chordata; Mammalia; Rodentia; Muridae
Source: RNAcentral